RNAcentral lists this ribosomal RNA (1473 nucleotides) under uncultured prokaryote. RNAcentral's name for it is "partial 16S ribosomal RNA". It matches the Rfam family "Bacterial small subunit ribosomal RNA". The record is from RNAcentral.
AGAGUUUGAUCCUGGCUCAGAACGAACGCUGGCGGCAGGCCUAACACAUGCAAGUCGAACGCCCCGCAAGGGGAGUGGCGCACGGGAGAGUAUCGCGUGGGAACGUACCUUUUAGUACGGAAGAACCAUUAGGAAUGAUGGCUAAUAACGUAUAGUCCCUCCGGGGUAAAGAUUUAUCGCCGAGAGAUGAGCCCGCGUCAGAUUAGCUAGUUGGUAAGGUAAUGGCUUACCAAGGCGACGAUUGGUAGCUGGUUUGAGAGGAUGAUCAGCCACACUGGAACUGAGACACGGUCCAGACUCCUACGGGAGGCAGCAGUGGGGAAUAUUGCGCAAUGGAGGAAACUCUGACGCAGCCAUGCCGCGUGAGUGAAGAAGGCCUUCGGGUUGUAAAGCUCUUUUACCUGUGAUGAUAAUGACAGUAGCAGGAGAAAAAGCUCCGGCUAACUUCGUGCCAGCAGCCGCGGUAAUACGAAGGGAGCGAGCGUUGUUCGGAAUUACUGGGCGUAAAGCGUGCGUAGGCGGUUUAGCAAGUUAGAAGUGAAAGCCCUGGGCUCAACCUAGGAAUUGCUUUUAAAACUGCUAAACUAGAAUCUCGGAGGGGAUGGUGGAAUUUCCAGUGUAGAGGUGAAAUUCGUAGAUAUUGGAAGGAACACCAGUGGCGAAGGCGACCAUCUGGACGAGUAUUGACGCUGAGGCACGAAAGCGUGGGGAGCAAACAGGAUUAGAUACCCUGGUAGUCCACGCCGUAAACGAUGUAAACUAGCCGUUGGGACCUUAGGUUUUUCAGUGGCGCAGCUAACGCACUAAGUUUACCGCCUGGGGAGUACGGCCGCAAGGUUAAAACUCAAAGGAAUUGACGGGGACCCGCACAAGCGGUGGAGCAUGUGGUUUAAUUCGAUGCAACGCGCAGAACCUUACCCACACUUAACUUCCUCUUGGGGCUUUCAGAGAUGAUCGCUUUCGGUUCGGCCGGGGAGUGAAUAGGUGCUGCAUGGCUGUCGUCAGCUCGUGUCGUGAGAUGUUAGGUUAAGUCCUGCAACGAGCGCAACCCUUAUCGUAUGUUGCCAUCAGGUUAUGCUGGGAACUCAUGCGAGACUGCCGGUGACAAGCCGGAGGAAGGCGGGGACGACGUCAAGUCAUCAUGGCCCUUACGUGUGGGGCUACAAACGUGCUACAAUGGUAACGACAAUGGGCAGCCACUUCGCAAGAAGGCGCUAAUCUCCAAACGUUAUCUCAGUUCGGAUUGUUCUCUGCAACUCGAGAGCAUGAAGUUGGAAUCGCUAGUAAUCGUGCAUCAGCAUGUCACGGUGAAUACGUUCCCGGGUCUUGUACACACCGCCCGUCACGUCAUGGGAGUUGGUUCUACCCGAAGGCGGUACGCUAACCUAUGGAGGCAGCGGACCACGGUAGGAUCAGCGACUGGGAGUAAGUCGUAACAAGGUAGCCGUAGGGGAACCUGCGGCUGGAUCACCU